GAUGAACGCUGGCGGCGUGCCUAAUACAUGCAAGUCGAGCGAACGGACGAGAAGCUUGCUUCUCUGAUGUUAGCGGCGGACGGGUGAGUAACACGUGGAUAACCUACCUAUAAGACUGGGAUAACUUCGGGAAACCGGAGCUAAUACCGGAUAAUAUUUUGAACCGCAUGGUUCAAAAGUGAAAGACGGUCUUGCUGUCACUUAUAGAUGGAUCCGCGCUGCAUUAGCUAGUUGGUAAGGUAACGGCUUACCAAGGCAACGAUGCAUAGCCGACCUGAGAGGGUGAUCGGCCACACUGGAACUGAGACACGGUCCAGACUCCUACGGGAGGCAGCAGUAGGGAAUCUUCCGCAAUGGGCGAAAGCCUGACGGAGCAACGCCGCGUGAGUGAUGAAGGUCUUCGGAUCGUAAAACUCUGUUAUUAGGGAAGAACAAAUGUGUAAGUAACUAUGCACAUCUUGACGGUACCUAAUCAGAAAGCCACGGCUAACUACGUG
Molecule: ribosomal RNA, 497 nt
Filed under: uncultured bacterium
Lineage: Bacteria
Description: partial 16S ribosomal RNA
Rfam family: Bacterial small subunit ribosomal RNA
Source: RNAcentral